Molecule: long non-coding RNA, 862 nt
Organism: Oreochromis niloticus (Nile tilapia)
Lineage: Eukaryota; Metazoa; Chordata; Actinopteri; Cichliformes; Cichlidae
Exons: 5
Source: RefSeq, a predicted model, not a curated record
CUGUGGCUAAUGGUGUUGUGUCUGGUGUCCGUGGUAAACGCCCACGUUGAGAUUAUCAUUCCCAGGGGGGACUGAGAAAGGUUUUGCCAGCCCAAGCCCUCGGGGUGUGAGCGACACACUUCAGGGGUCAAGUGUCCUUCAGCAUGUGUCAGUUUUCAAGUUCAACAAGUAAACUUCCUGAAGUCUUCUCUCAAGGAGGCCAGAGAGCCUCCUCAUUUUCAGCAGAGCCCGAGCAGAGGAUCUGUCGCUGGGGGAUUCGACUGAAGUGUGAAGAGGGGUGUAUGCAGGAGACAUGCUGAGAAUUCUAAAUAGUCCCCCAGCCAGCUCCCCGGGCCCCCGAAGAGGAACCAGCGGCAUGAUGUCACACACCUGUUUGGCUGGAGGCUGCGGCCCGGCGAUGCUUGCAGCCGUGGGUGUCGCGCUGGCACCCCUCGGCCUCCCCCAACCCCACCUCACCCCACCCUUGUCGCUGCCUGCUACGCCCCGUGGAUGUGUCAAAAUGGCAGAUGAUGGUUGGGGUGUGUGCAGCUGCUUGGGAAGAGGAGUGCCAAGGGCGCUCAUUUCCUGCGGAAACUCUUGGAAGGCAAAAGCAACAUCCUGAGUUGGUGAGGAGACAGGAGAGGUGCUGACAUGCCGACAGGCAGGGGAUCCUGGGAAAAGCCACAGACAGGAAGAGCCUGACUGACUUUGACCCCUGAGGUCAAGGCUGGGGGCUCGGCAACUGAAAGAUGUUUCCAAGCCACACUCAGACUAUCAUAGAGUUUUACAGGAAAUAGCUUAGAAAUACUGUACGCUGUGAAAUGUGGGAGAUCUUUUUAUUGCUUGCUCUUUUGUUUUGCUCUCUGUGAUAUAAAAUGCAUUU